Molecule: ribosomal RNA, 720 nt
Filed under: uncultured Staphylococcus sp.
Lineage: Bacteria; Bacillati; Bacillota; Bacilli; Caryophanales; Staphylococcaceae
Description: bacterial SSU rRNA
Rfam family: Bacterial small subunit ribosomal RNA
Source: RNAcentral
UGCAAGUCGAGCGAACGGACGAGAAGCUUGCUUCUCUGAUGUUAGCGGCGGACGGGUGAGUAACACGUGGAUAACCUACCUAUAAGACUGGGAUAACUUCGGGAAACCGGAGCUAAUACCGGAUAAUAUUUUGAACCGCAUGGUUCAAAAGUGAAAGACGGUCUUGCUGUCACUUAUAGAUGGAUCUGCGCUGCAUUAGCUAGUUGGUAAGGUAACGGCUUACCAAGGCAACGAUGCAUAGCCGACCUGAGAGGGUGAUCGGCCACACUGGAACUGAGACACGGUCCAGACUCCUACGGGAGGCAGCAGUAGGGAAUCUUCCGCAAUGGGCGAAAGCCUGACGGAGCAACGCCGCGUGAGUGAUGAAGGUCUUCGGAUCGUAAAACUCUGUUAUUAGGGAAGAACAUAUGUGUAAGUAACUGUGCACAUCUUGACGGUACCUAAUCAGAAAGCCACGGCUAACUACGUGCCAGCAGCCGCGGUAAUACGUAGGUGGCAAGCGUUAUCCGGAAUUAUUGGGCGUAAAGCGCGCGUAGGCGGUUUUUUAAGUCUGAUGUGAAAGCCCACGGCUCAACCGUGGAGGGUCAUUGGAAACUGGAAAACUUGAGUGCAGAAGAGGAAAGUGGAAUUCCAUGUGUAGCGGUGAAAUGCGCAGAGAUAUGGAGGAACACCAGUGGCGAAGGCGACUUUCUGGUCUGUAACUGACGCUGAUGUGCGAAA